RNAcentral lists this small RNA (793 nucleotides) under Pongo abelii (Sumatran orangutan). RNAcentral's name for it is "processed transcript". Lineage: Eukaryota; Metazoa; Chordata; Mammalia; Primates; Hominidae. The record is from RNAcentral.
CAACUGUUUUGGACAUUUAUCUUCUAAACUGCUGUGUUGAAAGUAUUGAUGACUGGCUUUCAUCUAAAAAGAAGAGACCAAUACGAGCACAGUAUAUGAAGGUUUCUCAUACUUAAGUUCCAGCUUUUUAUCUGGUAAAAUGUUACACUUACUCGGUUGUAACUGAAGAUAUGGAAGAUCUGAGUUACAAUGUAUGAAUGAAAAAAAAAAGGCAAAGCAGAACAAUUUCAGAGGUUCAAGAACCAAAAGCAAUGGAAUGGGCCCUAAGGGAAAAUAAAAUGGACCUGUGCUGCCUCUUUCCUCUUGUGCCACUCUCCCAGUCACUCAACCCUGCUCCAACUGUACUGGCUGCUAUUCUUGAACAAACCUUCCUGCAUGACCUUGGACCAACUGCCAGAGUUUUCUCUGGGUGUUAACAGCGGUUGGACGACAGACAAUUGCUUCCGGGCAGCGUUCCAAAAUAUUGGCUACAGCAGUCUCAUCGGCACCUAGUUCUUGUAAAAUAUUCGCAAUUUCUUCAACAUAGGUUUCAUCCUCUAAAAGUACCCAUCCUUUUAAUCUACGAAUUUUUCUGAUGUCAACUGAACAUUUAUAGAGCUUUUCCACUGUUCUUGUAUUUUCUUUGCUCGACUGUCUAUCAGUUGUAUAGGUGAAGCAUGCUAAGAAAGGUCUGUAUUUUGGAGGUGAUCGCAUCUUUCUGAAAGAACACAGCCUGCAGGACUGGGAUCUCAGCAGCAGCUUCCACAACAUGGCUGCAAUCCACUAGCUAGUUUCCACCGUCCUGGGACUUAAA